CCCCCCCCCCCGAUAUUGAUCUGAAACCACUGGGCUGCACAAUCUCCAUCACAUCACUCAACAACCAUUCAAUCCACCUCCUCAAAUGGAACCAUCCCAUUGGUUUCAACAGGAAGAAGUCAUAGUCAUGGCCACUGGAGAAGAGGAUGCGAUGUUUGGUCGUGGAUCUAUCAUCACUCCAUUGUACAAGCGCUCCAGGAAUGUGACGACCUGAAGUGAUGUGUCGCCACCCGAAUCGGGCGCUCUGGUUGGGCCCCGGCCAGUACACGGGCCAGCCGCCAUGACCGGAAGCAGCUCCACUUUACUGCCGGCCAGAUGGUUCCAAGCUGCGGAAUCGUCUCGCUCCGAGCACCGUGUCACGAAUCGCCCUGCACCGAACUCCCGCCUGUCCACAGUGACCGGCGGUCAGCGCCGGUCAAUGCACUGCUUCUCUGUAAGUCAUGUGGCCUGAGAAGUACAGCGCACCUUUGCCUGGCUGCAGCUUCGCUGGGUGGAGAGGCGAGAGGACGUUCGCCGUCCGCGGGAGACACCCGUGGCCGCGGUGGUCAGCGAAGACCGACGCUACUGUCAUCAUCUGGAUCGGCUUGAAAUAUUCUUCCGCAACAUCUCCAGCCCUUGCUGCGACCAUAUUCUCUUCUUCCUCAUCAGCUCAAAGACUUGGAAAAAAAACAACAAAAACGAAGCAAAAUCAAGGAAGUGCUGGGAAUACCUCAGAUUUCUUGAGACAUUUAUGAAAUAUCUCUCCCUUUCUACGUCUUCCAACUUGAAAGAACAGAAACUUCAUUGUCAAGAAAGAACUGACUCAAGAGUUCUUCGGUGGUUCAAACUCGUGUUGGUGUUUGAAGUUUUAGUUCAAUGUGUUUAAUAUUCAAUGUUUGCUGCAUUUUUACCAUUGUGCUGUAUUAUAUCCCGGAAUAAACGGAUAAAAACACUAA
Molecule: long non-coding RNA, 935 nt
Filed under: Eptatretus burgeri (inshore hagfish)
Lineage: Eukaryota; Metazoa; Chordata; Myxini; Myxiniformes; Myxinidae
Description: lncRNA (ENSEBUG00000017136.1)
Source: RNAcentral